UUGGAGGGCAAGYCUGGUGCCAGCAGCCGCGGUAAUUCCAGCUCCAAUAGUGUAUAUUAAAGUUGUUGCAGUUAAAAAGCUCGUAGUUGAAUUUCGGGAUUGACACAUUGGUCGUGCCCUAAGGGGUAUGAACUGGUGUAGUCAAUUUCUCACCUUCUGGAGAACCGCGCUGUCCUUAAUUGGGUGACGCGGGGAACCAGGACCUUUACUUUGAAAAAAUUAGAGUGUUUAAAGCAGGCAUUUUGCUUGAAUACAUUAGCGUGGAAUAAUAAAAUAGGACGGCAUGAUUCUAUUUUGUUGGUUUUUAGGAUCACUGUAAUGAUUAAUAGGGAUAGUUGGGGGCAUUAGUAUUCAAUUGUCAGAGGUGAAAUUCUUGGAUUUAUUGAAGACUAACUACUGCGAAAGCAUUUGCCAAGGAUGUUUUCAUUAAUCAAGAACGAAAGUUAGGGGAUCGAAGACGAUCAGAUACCGUCGUAGUCUUAACCAUAAACUAUGCCGACUAGGAAUCAGACGAUGUUAAUUUUUUAAUGACUCGUUUGGCACCUUACGGGAAACCAAAGUGUUUGGGUUC
RNAcentral lists this ribosomal RNA (571 nucleotides) under uncultured Glomeromycotina. Its description in RNAcentral is "SSU rRNA". It matches the Rfam family "Eukaryotic small subunit ribosomal RNA", at positions 550 to 1125 of the family's 1831-position model. The record is from RNAcentral. Lineage: Eukaryota; Fungi; Glomeromycota.